Molecule: ribosomal RNA, 468 nt
Filed under: uncultured bacterium
Lineage: Bacteria
Description: partial 16S ribosomal RNA
Rfam family: Bacterial small subunit ribosomal RNA
Source: RNAcentral
GACGAACGCUGGCGGCGUGCUUAACACAUGCAAGUCGAACGGAAAGGCCCUGCUUUUGUGGGGUGCUCGAGUGGCGAACGGGUGAGUAACACGUGAGUAACCUGCCCUUGACUUUGGGAUAACUUCAGGAAACUGGGGCUAAUACCGGAUAGGAGCUCCUGCUGCAUGGUGGGGGUUGGAAAGUUUCGGCGGUUGGGGAUGGACUCGCGGCUUAUCAGCUUGUUGGUGGGGUAGUGGCUUACCAAGGCUUUGACGGGAAGCCGGCCUGAGAGGGUGACCGGCCACAUUGGGACUGAGAUACGGCCCAGACUCCUACGGGAGGCAGCAGUGGGGAAUAUUGCACAAUGGGCGGAAGCCUGAUGCAGCAACGCCGCGUGCGGGAUGACGGCCUUCGGGUUGUAAACCGCUUUCGCCUGUGACGAAGCGUGAGUGACGGUAAUGGGUAAAGAAGCACCGGCUAACUACGUG